Molecule: non-coding RNA, 811 nt
Filed under: Triplax ainonia
Lineage: Eukaryota; Metazoa; Arthropoda; Insecta; Coleoptera; Erotylidae
Source: RNAcentral
GGGCACUUUGCUUAAAAGUAUUAAUAGUUAAUUUUUUAGUUUUUGGACCAAAGUUUUAUUCUAGCUUAAAGGUUAAAUAUUUUUAUUAUUUACAUGCAAUUUUUAUUUAAAAUUUAAAGAGUGAUUUUAGGCAGUAUAUAGUUUUGUAAAUUAAAGAGAUUUAGAAUUAGAAAUAAAAUUUAGUAUUGGCUAAAUUUGUGCCAGCCGCCGCGGUUAGACAGAUGAUGCGAUUUAAUUUUUUAGAUAGUAAUUAAUUUAAAUAAUUAGAAAAUUUAAAAUUAAAUUUAUUAGGUGAAAUUUUAAAUUUAAUUUAAGUUUUAAAUAUUUUUUUAAAGUUAGGAAAUUUAAUUAUUAGACUAGGAUUAGAUACCCUAUUAUUAUAAAUGUAAUGUAAAAAUAUCAAGCGAUUAAUAGUUAUGAUCUUUAAAAUUAAAGAAUUUGGCGGUAUUUUAGUCUUUUCAGAGGAACCUGCCCUAUAAUUGAUAAUCCACGUUUAAUUGAACUUAUUUUAAUUAGUUUGUAUAUCGUCGUAGGUUGAAUAUUUUAGGAGAAUUAAAAUGUUCAAGAUUUUUAUUAUGAAAGGAAAUCAGAUCAAGAUGCAGUUUAUAGAUAAGGAGAGGUGGGUUACAGUACAGAGAUGUYAUUGGAUUAUAAAAUGAGAUUUUUAUAUAAAAUUGGAUUUGACAGUAAUUUUGAUUAAUUUAUCAAAAUGAUUUAGCUCUAAAAUAUGCACAUAUCGCCCGUCACUUUCAUCCCAAGAUGAAAUAAGUCGUAACAAAGUAGGCGUACUGGAAAGUGUGCCUAGAAAGGC